CUGUUUGAGAGGAGGUACGUCGAUCACAUACUGCUGUUCUUUUCAUGACGUUGUGUUGGUUUGCAAUAUUGACAAGGUGCAGAAUGAUCGUCUGUGGUGUGGAGCGACUCAUGCUGAAUGGAGAAGGCCAUGAGUGAACCGUAAAUGCCGGUCUGCUCAGAGGAAGCAGCACAAGGAGGGCCUCCCCUGAACUCGACGAGCGGCCGCGCGUGCCCCCGCGAUGGGCGACCACGACCCAGAGAGCUCGCUGGCCCGCGGCGUCGACAGGGAGAGCGACAGCAUCGACACCAAUCCGAGGUUCCUCCUGGGCCGUCCCGACGCCCUCAACGGCGUCCUGAGUUCGCCGGACGCCGCCUCCAGCGACAGCUCCUCAUGCAGGCAGCAGGAUACCAGCGCCCGGACGCCCUCCCCUGGCCAGUGGCCGGCGCCGACGCCGCCCGAGGCCAUGUCCAUAGCCGUGGCCAACUUCAUCCAGCAGCUGUUUCCUUCGCUGGUGUCGGUGACGAAGACGCUGCCUUCGUGGCUGGCCGCCUUCUGCCCUCACAUCGCGCUGCUGAUCGAGCGCUUGGCGGAGGACGAGCGCGCGCACGUGCUCGGCCGCCUGCGCCGCCACAUGCACCUCAACCAGGACGGCUCGCUCACCAUGUCGCUGGUGGCCAUGUCCAUCCUGCGCCUCCAUCCUGACGUGGUGGAGAGCCCGAGCUGGAGACACAGGGACGCCGAGGCCAUCCGCCUGCCGCUGCUCAUCCGAGAGAGACUGGCGUGCGGCAAGUUCGUGCCCCUCGAGCACGUGCUGUACGGAGAGUGCCUGAUGGAGGGCACGGUGUGUCACGUGGAUGCCCAGGGCAAGGACGUGGCCCCGGAGCCCUACCCCCUGAACGUCAAGCGGCACUUGCCUCCGCCGGACUUCGUGGCGGCCAUCACCCGCAGCGACGUGAUGCGCGCCCUCAUGACGCAUGGCAUGUGCCUCGCCCGCCGGUUCCCCGUGCAGGCCGCCGCCAUGCACGGCCUCGCGCACCACUUGUGGGAGCUCAUGUUCACCGAGAAGAUGACCGCCCCGGCCGCCAUGCAGCUGUACAACGCCUUCUUCCAGGAGUUCGAGAAGCAGCUGUCGCUCAUGACGGUCCUCCCGAUGGACAGGUUCCCCGCAUGGCUGUUGCAGAGCCUCCCCGCGCCCCUCGAAGCCGUGGGCGCAGACGACCAGGCGACUGAGAGUGCGACGUGGAGCUCCGCCAGCAGCACGUGAGGAGAGCCAGGAGCACCCCCAGCAGCAGGAGGGCGGGCGUCGGGGCUCGGGCGCUGCUGCUGUUGUCGUCGUCGGAGGGGAGACCGUACCACACCCUGAGGGACUCCCGCACCAGCUGAGCGUCUCGGGAGUCUACGGGCACGCUGGUGGUGCCCUCCGGGUUCGCGGGGACGGGGUCGUUCGGCCUGGGGGCGGGAGGGACGUGUGAGACGCUUGUUUGUGUCGGAGACUCUGACUGUAAGGUUUCUUCCUCUCUCUCUCUCUCUCUCUCUCUCUCUCUCUCUCUCUCUCUCUCUCUCUGAGCCUCACUUGCCUCAAUAACCUUGUCAGUCAUGAAAGUCCCUCUCGCUCUCACUCACUCCUUAACACCCACCCUCCUUCCCUCCCUUCUUUCUUCCUCCCUCCUUCCCUCCUUUCCUCCCUCCCUCCCUCCCCCCGCUCUACCUUAGCGGCGAAGAAAAAAAUACGUAAGGAGAUUAAAGAUAAAUGCUAAGCCUGUAUGAGGCCGAAACCCUUGUGAAGAGAGACACAACAGGUCAUCGUGUUAGAGUAAGGUCAGGAUAGAGGGUCAACCGCACUUUUGUGAAUACACGAUGCAGAGAAAAAAAUGUUAACAAUAUAAUGAGGUGCUCUAUGAAAGGUACUCUACAAGAAAUGCUCUAUGAGAGGUGCUCUGUGAAAGGUACUCUAUAAGAUUGUGCUCCAAAGGUGCUUUAUAAGAGGUGCUCUAUGAGAGAUACUCGAAAAGAAAAUGCUCUAUAAAAGGUGCUUUAUAAGAGUUUCUUCAUGCAAGGUGUUCAAUGAAAAGUACUCUAUAAAAAGUGUUCUACGAAAGGUGCUUUACAGAUGCUCAAUGAAAGGAACUCUAUAUGAGGCGCUCUACAUAAGACGGACAUCCCAUCACCAUGUAUACAACGUCCUCUGAUUGACAAUGCUAUGUUGGAACGACCAAUGAGGAAAGAAAAACGGUAAAAACAGAAACACAUCAACAGAGAGAGAAAGGAUGGUGUGUGACUCGUGUCUUCCGAUGCCAGAUUCACUCCAAUCCGUCUAUGGAAAUGUUUGUUGACGUUAAAUUUGUAAAAGGGAGUGAGAAAUAAAUGGAGGUUGUGA
This 2359-nucleotide unclassified non-coding RNA is filed under the name Penaeus japonicus. Its description in RNAcentral is "uncharacterized LOC122247051, transcript variant X1". The record is from RNAcentral. Lineage: Eukaryota; Metazoa; Arthropoda; Malacostraca; Decapoda; Penaeidae.